UCGAACGAGAAAGUGGAGCAUCCAUGAGUAAAGUGGCGUACGGGUGAGUAACACGUGGAUCAUCUGCCUUUUAGUGGGGAAUACCGCUGGGAAACCGGCGACAAUACCGCAUAAGCUCGAGAGAGGAAAGCCGAAAGGCGCUGAAAGAGGAGUCCGCGGUCGAUUAGCUAGUUGGUAGGGUAAUGGCCUACCAAGGCUGUGAUCGAUAGCCGGCCUGAGAGGGCACACGGCCACACUGGCACUGAAACACGGGCCAGACUCCUACGGGAGGCAGCAGUGGGGAAUCUUGCACAAUGGGGGAAACCCUGAUGCAGCGACGCCGCGUGAGCGAUGAAGCCCUUCGGGGUGUAAAGCUCUUUCGGCAGGGAAGAUUAUGACGGUACCUGCAGAAGCAGCUGCGGCUAACUACGUGCCAGCAGCCGCGGUAAUACGUAGGCAGCAAGCGUUGUUCGGAGUUACUGGGCGUAAAGGGUGCGUAGGCGGUUCUGUAAGUAUGGUGUGAAAUCUCCCGGCUUAACUGGGAGGGUGCGCUAUAAACUGCGGGGCUAGAGUGUGGGAGAGGAAAGUGGAAUUCCUGGUGUAGCGGUGAAAUGCGUAGAUAUCAGGAGGAACACCGGUGGUGUAAACGGCUUUCUGGACCAUAACUGACGCUGAAGCACGAAAGCGUGGGUAGCAAACAGGAUUAGAUACCCUGGUAGUCCACGCCCUAAACGAUGCAUAUUUUGGUGUGGGUCAUUCAGUUGAUCCGUGCCGGAGCUAACGCGUUAAAUAUGCCGCCCUGGGGAGUACAGUCGCAAGGCUGAAACUC
RNAcentral lists this ribosomal RNA (808 nucleotides) under uncultured bacterium. RNAcentral's name for it is "bacterial SSU rRNA". It matches the Rfam family "Bacterial small subunit ribosomal RNA", at positions 62 to 902 of the family's 1533-position model. The record is from RNAcentral.